RNAcentral lists this ribosomal RNA (253 nucleotides) under uncultured bacterium. RNAcentral describes it as "partial 16S ribosomal RNA". It matches the Rfam family "Bacterial small subunit ribosomal RNA", at positions 524 to 776 of the family's 1533-position model. The record is from RNAcentral.
UACAGAGGUCCCAAGCGUUGUUCGGAUUCACUGGGCGUAAAGGGUGCGCAGGUGGCUUGGUAAGUUUGAUGUGAAAGCUCAGGGCUCAACCCUGAAAUGGCAUUGAAUACUGUCGGGCUUGAGGUUUGGAGGGGGGACUGGAAUUCUCGGUGUAGCAGUGAAAUGCGUAGAUAUCGAGAGGAACACCAGUGGCGAAGGCGAGUCCCUGGACAACACCUGACACUGAGGCACGAAAGCCAGGGGAGCAAACGGG